This is a non-coding RNA of Drosophila virilis, 1033 nucleotides long. The record is from RefSeq and is a predicted model, not a curated record. Lineage: Eukaryota; Metazoa; Arthropoda; Insecta; Diptera; Drosophilidae.
AUAUUUAAAAUGUUCACUGUGACAAAAAAAAAACCCCUCUCUCCGUUUAAUGUCAGGCAUGGCAACCAUCUAAUUUAAAUAAUACUUUCGAACACAGUUAACAUCCCGUACCCAUUGACAACGCCUAAAAAGGAGUUUGAUGGGCUUGUAGAAAUUCGCUAGAUCUAGCCGUGUAGAUCUCUAUAUAAGUCCAUAAGUUUUAAGGACUUGGAAUUUUAAGCAAAACUCCUGCUAGCGAUUAUUACCUGCUAAAUCAAUGAACGUCGAUUUUCAUAUUGGGUUUUUAAAGCGCAUCUGGAAUCGAUACAUCUUCGAUACAUAGAAGGCAGCUUGAAUGGCGCUGUGCACGGGGUAUUCCCUAGUCGAUCACGUGCGACUAGAGCUCUCUAGUUUUAAUGUGUAGCGGAUGGAGUAUUGCUCAAUGCAGUCAACUGAACGACUGCAUAAACAAAUGCAUGGGCUGAUUGUAUUGACAGCAGCAGCAGCAGCAGCAACAACAGCAAUGCCUGAGUUAAAUACAAUGAUAAUGAGCAAUACAAGUGACGAGAGACAGAGUGAGAGACAGAGAGAGGGGAGACAGAGACAGGGAGAGUGCGGGUUUACCUAAGAAGUGCUGCAAACAGUUGGAAUAAUCGAAACCUCCUUGAUGGAAAGAUCACAGACUUGAUGAAGUUUCGGGCCCAAGCGCAUAUCGAAGAAUCUUUAUAGCUCUGGAUUAGCAAUCAAUGAAUGCAUAUUUCAGCGAUUUUGAAAAAUUUACCCGCAACUGUGGAAUAUUGGCGGAAGUCGAUUAAGGCUGUUUUUAAUACUAGGUAGUUAGAUUGAGGCAAUAAGUUAAUUACAUUAAAAAACAAACUCUUCUUCGCUUUGAAGCUAAUCAGCAUCUUUAAUUACCAGAGCCCGGAGCGAAAGAGUCGCAGCUGGCAAACUUUAAGCGUGUUGCUCUGCAAAUGACAGUCCAGUCAGUCAGCUGUGCUGGCAGCAAGGGGUGUGGGCGCUGUUUGGUUGGGAGGACACUUCGCGCACUUCAUAA